AGCUAGUUGGUAAGGUAAUAGCUUACCAAGGCAACGAUCAAUAGCUGUUCUUAGAGGAAGACCAGCCACAUUGGGACUGAGACACGGCCCAAACUCCUACGGGAGGCAGCAGUGGGGAAUCUUGCACAAUGGGGGAAACCCUGAUGCAGCGAUGCCGCGUGAGUGAAGAAGGCCUUUGGGUUGUAAAACUCUUUCGUCGGGGAAGAAAAUGACUGUACCCGAAUAAGAAGGUCCGGCUAACUUCGUGCCAGCAGCCGCGGUAAUACGAAGGGACCUAGCGUAGUUCGGAAUUACUGGGCUUAAAGAGUUCGUAGGUGGUUAAAAAAGUUGAUGGUGAAAUCCCAAGGCUCAACCUUGGAACUGCCAUCAAAACUUUUUAGCUAGAGUAUGAUAGAGGAAAGUGGAAUUUCUAGUGUAGAGGUGAAAUUCGUAGAUAUUAGAAAGAACAUCAAAAGCGAAGGCAACUUUCUGGAUCAUUACUGACACUGAGGAACGAAAGCAUGGGUAGCGAAGAGGAUUAGAUACCCUCGUAGUCCAUGCCGUAAACGAUGUGUGCUAGACGUUGGAAACUU
RNAcentral lists this ribosomal RNA (572 nucleotides) under uncultured bacterium. RNAcentral's name for it is "bacterial SSU rRNA". It matches the Rfam family "Bacterial small subunit ribosomal RNA", at positions 243 to 832 of the family's 1533-position model. The record is from RNAcentral.